Molecule: long non-coding RNA, 5505 nt
Organism: Homo sapiens (human)
Lineage: Eukaryota; Metazoa; Chordata; Mammalia; Primates; Hominidae
Product: long independently transcribed non-coding RNA 701
Exons: 3
Source: RefSeq, marked validated
AGGAGACGCACAGCAUGCCGGGAAUGAGCAGGCCCCUGUUCUUCGGAACAAACCAUCUGGAGAAAGAGCUGGAAUGGAGCCCAUCAGUGGUGCUUCACUGCUUCAGGAAGAUGCAUGGCUCAGCAGGACACACAGGGCUCAGCAGGUCACAGCCAUAGGUAAGCAACCAAAGCACCCUAGACCCCACCACCUCUUUGAAUAAAAUUACCCAGUCAUGCCAGGCUUCUCACCUUUCCCAGAAGGAGUAGUACUUCACACACACACACACACACACACACACAUGCACGUGUACACACAUAUAUACAAACACAUUCAGACACAUACGCAUGCACAUACACAACACACACAUGCACGCUACACAUACACAUACAUACACACAUAUACAGAUACACACAUACACACACGCACAUACACACACACUACACAUACGCACACACACACACAUAUAUGCAUGCGUGCAUCCCUCUUUCUGUGGCAUCCCUGACUUUUUGGAGAUUGAGUCAUUUAAUUAUUUGUUUAAAUGGCUUUGUAAAUGUUCUAAUGUCCAGAAUAUUUGCUAGACAAUAACAACGUUUUCCAUGGUUUAUUAAGUAAAUAAUUGUCCUAAUAGAAAUAUAAAUUGUUACAGAAGUGCAUAAAAUGAAAUUAUUUUUCCAAAUGGAGUUAAAUAAGAGUAUAUUGAAGGAAUUAUAUAUAUUAACCUUGUCUUCAAAAAUGAGUAGAUUCUCACGGGCAAAGACGAGAGGAUGGAUAAACAAGGAUUUGCCAAGGAGAAGAGGCCAAUGUCAUAUUUUCUCCCUCAGUGUGUCCGGAUGGGAUUGGAAAGUCUCCCUGGCCCACAUAGGUAAGAAUUCUGUUGCUCAUCUUCUGCACACCCCACCUCUAUUCUCCCUCACUUACUCAAGCCUAGGUUUAUCCAAGCCAGCCAAGUGGCCAGGUAGAUAAUUGUAUUUCUUAAAUUCUUUUGAAGUUAUGCCUGCCUACUUAACACAUCUCUGGAAGAAGGCAUACUGAGAUUUCCGAGAAAACAUUGCUUUCUGUACAUGGAUGUUGCCUUCUCUUUUACUGUAUCUCCUUCCCUUCUUUGGCAAGUUGUCAAAGCAUGGUGGAUGAUACAGUGGAUAAAAGAGGCUGCAGUAUGAGCUGAUAAAAUGAUAUCAGCAAUAAACUGUAUGCAUAGUUCUUGUUACUAAAAAAAAAAAAAGUCAUCAGAUUUGCUUAAUUUACUGUUUGUUUUUUACAAAAAAAACAGUUUUUGACCAAAACAAGUUGAUAAUAGAUAUUGCCAUAGACUAAGAAAAAAGACAUGUAAUACUCCAGUUAAUAAAAUAUUUGGAGAUGCAUUUAGCAACUUCUAGUUUUACUAGUAGCCUAGUUACUGUCUUGGGGACCCACCAAUCAGCUGAUAAUGUGUGUGAAAUAUGAAGAAGUAUAUUGACAAAACAUACCGGUGAUUGAUUUUGGCCCAACAUCAAACUAAUAGCACAUUGAAAACAGGGUAUCAAGAGUCAGUAAUGAAGGUCUUUUUGACAAAAGCUAGAAGACGUUGUAUCAGUGUUAAUAUUUACCAUCCCUUAUAUGAAUACACGGAUUGAUACAUAGAAUCACAAUAGAACCUGGAUUCACUAUGACCCAACCAAUCAGAUCACUCAGUUUUGGAGAAUAAACUUUUUGAGGAAAAUUUGAAACUGCUGGCUGUAAUAAGUAUUUAGCCAGUAGUUUCAAAGAUUUUGGUGUGUAUCACCCUAUCUUCGGAAAGCAAAUAAUGUAACCAUCUUAACUAAAAGAAAAUUAAAUCAAUAAGCAUUUUGCAUGAGAAGCAUGCAGUUGGGUGCUGAAUUUGAAUGUGUGAAGCACUCUACAGCAGAGAGAAAAUGUUAAGUACACUUUUAAAAACCAGGUACAGUGUCAUCAGGAGAAAGGGCAAUUCCAUGCUACUAAAUACAAUCAAAUCAAAACCCGAGAACACAUAGCAAGAAGAUCUUAAACCUGAAGACAAGUCCUUAGAUGCUUCUGGCAUUGCCUCUACUCACACACCAAGUGGGUGUGGUGGUGCCUGGUUCAUAUCUUCGGGAACUCUCUUUCUUAGGACUACAAUGUGUUUUCUCAGUUUGCCAAAGGAUGCCGUCUGCCUGCAGGUGCGCUGUGGGUUCAACUCUGACCCCUGAUGCUGCCUUUUUUAGGGUGUUUCCUCUGCCCCAAGGGUUGGACCAAUGGGAACUUCUUUCUGGAGAUCCCUUGCCAGUUGGGUUUGUUUAUAACCCACCAAUGAGAAGCUUUGAAGAUAUUUCAAAGAUGAAAGAGAAGCAGAAGCCACAUUGUGACUCCCCCAAAGGCACAGGAGGAAUGGUCAAGACUCAACAGACAGGAGAAUGUGGAGCAAGCUGGGGCUUCCCUGCAGGGCUUGGAUGAUCUCUGCUGCUCUCCUGUGGCUUCUGUAGUUUCCCGGUGCUCUGCAAGUGAUCAGCCAACGUAAGGUGAUGCCUUGGAAUUCCUCAACUCUUUUAUUGCUUUUGUGGGCACCACAUUUCCUGUGUUAGAGUCCCUCCUGCUCAAGAUACCAAAAGUGACACCACCCUAAGAUAGGGAACCACAGACCUUGAACUGCCUUGAAUACCCUCAAAAUGACCAAGUGUUGAGGAUUUCAUUUACUCACUGAAAUUCCUUACUUUGACUGAAAUCUACUGCAUCGUUAUUUUUUAGUAAAUUUCUCAUUGUUAAAUAAUGGUAAUUAAAUCCACCAUGUAAGCCAUAGAGGAAAAUAAUUUCAGUAUACUUUAGUAUCAUAUUAACAGAAAAUAAAUGCAUGGACCUUCAAUGGAUCCAAUACUAGCCAUCAUUUAACCAACUGUCAAUAAAGAGGUGCUUGUGAUAUCAUUCUACCCAUAUGUGCCUUACUUAGCUUUUUGGGGAGGAGAUCGUGGAUAAAAUGUGCUAUUUUAGAAAUUAGAAGAUCCGACAAGGAUAGAAUUAUCCAUCUAAAUGGCUCAUUUAAUAACUCCAGUGGAGGUCCUUGAAGACUAUUUCUCUUCACUCUACUUCCUUAUUUUGCUCCAAAAAAAAUCUGGCUUAAGACAGGUUCCUGAGAAGCAGAGUUUGAAAUAGAGGUGCUUGUGUAAAGGGUAUAUUGAGGAGUGCGGUCAGCAGAGACCAGUGAGAAAGCAAAAAAGCAGGACAAAGCAGGGGACUAAAAUACCCACAGUGGGGUGUAGACUGCAGCCUGGUUUAGCUGGCUCCCAUGCGAAGCCCCGGGGUGUGCACAGCAUCCCACAGCCUUUCCACCUUGAGACCAAGGGACUUCCAGACCUUCUUGUCAGUUUGCUAUAGGCUGUAGGGUGCCCCUAAUUGGAAAUGGACACAAUCUCCCAAGCAUUUCUCAGGAGUCAGCCCAUGCCAGAGUGAGGGCAACUGUCUGGGAAAAAUUUUUUAAAGCAGCUAUGAGUGGUUAGUACUUAAAACUCACAACAGCUGAGGCCUGGAGUUAGGGUCCCUUGAAGGGAAUCAAGGCAAGUCACUAUAACGUUAAUCCACUAUCAGAGUCAUUGCUGUUUUUGAAGAAAUUGCAUGUGUUUCUACAGCCUAGGCAUCAAAAGGACAUGAAAGAUGAGCUCAUAGGUGUUCCUGAUUCUUCUUUCUCCAUCAUCCUAUUUAUUACUGAUUAUUUGAUGCCUCCACUUUACUUUGUUUUUCUCCUCUGAUGUCUUUAUGUAAGCAUAAGGAAAUGCAAAUACACAGCCGCAUGCACCCUUUGCUUUCCUUCUGUGCAGGAUCCAGGACAGCACAGCAUGUCGGAGUUCACUGCUCACUGUUCACUGUGAUGUCAGCCCAUCUGCAUUGCCAUAAAGUAAUCUCUAAGACUGAGUGAUUGAUGAAGAACACAGGUUUGUUUUGGCUCAUGGUUCUGCAGGCCAUAUAGGAAGCACAGUGCUGGUAUCUGCUACUGGUGAAGCCUCAGGAGGAUUCCAGUCAUGGCAGAAGGCAAAGGGAGAGCCAGCAUGUCCCACAGUGAGAGAGAGAGCAAGAUAGAGAGUGAGGGAGAGCCAGCGUCCUUUAAACAACCAGGGCUUGCAUAGACUUACAGAGUGAGAACUCACUGGCUUCCAUGGAGUGAGUGCCAAGCCAUUCGUGGGGAUCCACCCACAUGACCAAAUGCCUCCCGUCAGGCCCCACCUCCAACACUGGAGAUCACAUUUCAACAUGAGACUUGGAGGGGACAGAUACCCAAACAAUGUCAUAUGCUUUGCUUUUCUCACGUGCGACUAUAUUCUAGAAGUCUUUCCAUGUCAGUACACAGAGACUAUCCCCAUUAUUUCAGCUGUGCCAAGGAAACAUCAUUGACCGAGAUAGCCAUUUCUCACUGGACUGUCACUGUAGAGACAUUAGCUCAUCCAUGUUCGUAAAACUCCAUUCACGUGGACACACAUCGUGUGUUAGUGCUGCUUCAUCAGAUAUCAUGUUAGCAAGCAGCCAGUGCAAAAAAAAAACUCAACCUACGUGAAGCACCAACAUAUUGGCCAUCCUGGAUGUGUGUUGUGAAAUCAGGUGCAUGUGACGUAGACAUACCUGUGAAAAAUUGCAUUUUAGAUGUAUUUGUUAAUGAAACUACAAAUAAUGUUAAAAUUUUUAAUGCAACUCAAAAAUAGUCCAACAGAUGGACUGUGCAACGAAGGAAUAGAAAUAAAUAAAAAUCAUGAAAUGUCUCAUUGUUCUUCCCUGCUAUGAAUAAAAACAAGAAUUUUGAAACACUACAGUAUGCUCAUGUCAUAAAACAUAGUUCAAUUUAUGUCAAUUGAAUGUAAUAGUCUUCUGAUUGGCUUACAUCCCAUUAUAUUAAACUUCAUUUGUAUCUAUCUCCGACCUUUGAUAAAUCAGCUCUUGGCAAAAGCCUAAGGAUAAGGGAUACUUUAUGAUACACCAUCACAGAACACCUGAUCCGACUGGUUUUCUCUUGUGCAGCCAUAAACCAAAUUCCUAUUGAUGACUGAUACAAGUGAAAUUUUACUGCACUAUGUUCAUCUUUAUAUUCUGUGAUGAAGAAAACAUCCUGAUCUAUGAAAGAUAAAUAUGCUUAUUUUGCGAUUCUUAUCAACAUGUAUCACAUUGAAUAGAAACAGUAAUAAUUAAUAAUAAUAAUAAAGUGCCAAUAUGUGUAUAUUCUCAAGUUAGUGCAAAAUGUAUCUUACUGAAAAUUGCUUGAAUUAGAAAAGCAAGCCAAGAGGGCCUCUUCCUCUCUGGGGUAUUGCAGUCUUUAAAAAGCUUGAGACUGUGGAACUUGAUACUAUUCAUCCUCCUUUUUGACCUUAGCCAAGAAAACCUUCUUACAUGCUUGUCUCUUGCCCAAGUAGAUUAAUGAAUUCAGGAUAUAAUAGAUCCCUGAAGUGAUUUGCAUGUAUUGAUUAAAUGUCAUGAGUAAAAUGCUGGAGGUUGAAUUACUAGAGACACAGGAAGUGCAGAAAGCACAAUUGUAAGCAUUGUUCAAAUAAAUUACUUGGCAAUUCUUCUUGA